This 277-nucleotide ribosomal RNA is filed under the name uncultured bacterium. Its description in RNAcentral is "partial 16S ribosomal RNA". It matches the Rfam family "Bacterial small subunit ribosomal RNA", at positions 337 to 631 of the family's 1533-position model. The record is from RNAcentral.
ACCUACGGGGCGCAGCAGUGGGGGAUAUUGCCCAAUGGGGGGAACCCUGAUGCAGCGACGCCGCGUGGGUGAAGAAGCGCCUCGGCGCGUAAAGCCCUGUCAGCAGGGAAGAAAAUGACGGUACCUGAAGAAGAAGCCCCGGCUAACUACGUGCCAGCAGCCGCGGUAAUACGUAGGGGGCAAGCGUUAUCCGGAUUUACUGGGUGUAAAGGGGGCGCAGACGGCUGUGCAAGUCUGGAGUGAAAGGCGGGGGCCCAACCCCCGGCCUGCUCUGGAA